Molecule: long non-coding RNA, 210 nt
Organism: Haliotis rubra (blacklip abalone)
Lineage: Eukaryota; Metazoa; Mollusca; Gastropoda; Lepetellida; Haliotidae
Exons: 4
Source: RefSeq, a predicted model, not a curated record
CAGAACAGAAAAGAGCAGGAUUUUAUUUCAGUAACAGGCCUCCGGCCCAAAAUACAUAUGCAUAAAUUGAUGGAUAAUUAGAGCACAUGUAAUGUAUUUCAUUCAGUUUUUCUUGUCAACAACGUAUAAAAAUAGACAUUCAUCUUUGAUGAUAUUAACAGUUUUACUCUGUAAUAUACAUAUAUAAUUAAUGAUUGAUGGACAUUUACU